GAAGGACAGCACCUCACCUUAGCUGCAGCAGCCCACACACACAGCUCACUUUCUGCCUGGACUCCUCUGCCUGCAGCUGGUAUUGGGCCUGUUGGAAUUUGCGCAUCCAUUUCAUCGUGGGCCAAUGUGAAAUGGGAACUAUUUGAACUCUUUCAGAAGACGGACUCCUCGAUAAAGCAGUAGUACUCCUGUUUCCAACGUUUCACAUUAUUGUAUGGAGGCCGUAAAGUCCACAAUCAAAUAACUGGCC
Long non-coding RNA from Gorilla gorilla gorilla (western lowland gorilla), 250 nucleotides. RefSeq lists it as uncharacterized. The transcript has 3 exons. Lineage: Eukaryota; Metazoa; Chordata; Mammalia; Primates; Hominidae. The record is from RefSeq and is a predicted model, not a curated record.